This 501-nucleotide ribosomal RNA is filed under the name Cryptosporiopsis sp. CJL-2014. RNAcentral's name for it is "eukaryotic LSU rRNA". The stretch from base 148 to 301 matches the Rfam family "5.8S ribosomal RNA". Lineage: Eukaryota; Fungi; Ascomycota; Leotiomycetes; Helotiales; Dermateaceae. The record is from RNAcentral.
UAGACCUCCCACCCUGUGUCGUUAUACCUUCGUUGCUUUGGCGGGCCGCGGGGCCCCGGCCCCGCCCCUGGCUCCGGCUAGGGCGCGCCCGCCAGAGGACCUCAAAACCUGAAUGUUAGUGUCGUCUGAGUACUAUAUAAUAGUUAAAACUUUCAACAACGGAUCUCUUGGUUCUGGCAUCGAUGAAGAACGCAGCGAAAUGCGAUAAGUAAUGUGAAUUGCAGAAUUCAGUGAAUCAUCGAAUCUUUGAACGCACAUUGCGCCCCUUGGUAUUCCGGGGGGCAUGCCUGUUCGAGCGUCAUUACAACCCUCAAGCUCUGCUUGGUCUUGGGCGUCACCGGUCCCGGUGUGCCUUAAAAUCAGUGGCGGCGCCAUCUGGCUCUAAGCGUAGUACAUACUCUCGCUACAGACGUCCGGUGGAUGCUGGCCAGCAACCCCCAACUUAUCAAGGUUGACCUCGGAUCAGGUAGGGAUACCCGCUGAACUUAAGCAUAUCAAUAA